AUUGAACGCUGGCGGCAGGCCUAACACAUGCAAGUCGAGCGGAUGAAGGGAGCUUGCUCCUGGAUUCAGCGGCGGACGGGUGAGUAAUGCCUAGGAAUCUGCCUGGUAGUGGGGGAUAACGUCCGGAAACGGGCGCUAAUACCGCAUACGUCCUGAGGGAGAAAGUGGGGGAUCUUCGGACCUCACGCUAUCAGAUGAGCCUAGGUCGGAUUAGCUAGUUGGUGGGGUAAAGGCCCACCGAGGCGACCAUCCGUAACUGGUCUGAGAGGAUGAUCAGUCACACUGGAACUGAGACACGGUCCAGACUCCUACGGGAGGCAGCAGUGGGGAAUAUUGGACAAUGGGCGAAAGCCUGAUCCAGCCAUGCCGCGUGUGUGAAGAAGGUCUUCGGAUUGUAAAGCACUUUAAGUUGGGAGGAAGGGCAGUAAGUUAAUACCUUGCUGUUUUGACGUUACCAACAGAAUAAGCACCGGCUAACUUCGUG
RNAcentral lists this ribosomal RNA (484 nucleotides) under uncultured bacterium. RNAcentral's name for it is "partial 16S ribosomal RNA". It matches the Rfam family "Bacterial small subunit ribosomal RNA", at positions 30 to 507 of the family's 1533-position model. The record is from RNAcentral.